AAAGCCUUACUCCCGUCCUCAUUUCGAGAUGCAGUCAGAGGAGAGUUUGAGAGAGAGGGCGAUAGAGGCUGAGGGAGAACGAGAAGCUUGAUGGUGAUCGGAGAGGGAGUCGCAUGCAACCUUGAAUCUUGGUUAAGCAAAAGCAGGUACUUCUAAGGACAAUGGAGCUGUGAUUGGAGGAGCUUGAAAGUAAGGGAGGCCGGAGAAUUUAUUAUGUAUUUGGUUAAAUAUGCUUCUUAUAUUUUGCCAUUUUGGAGUGAAGAUACAAAUGUGUGUGUGUGUUCUGAUAUGUAAAUAUUCCUCUAUAAAGUGGUGGCUGAGGGCAGAUAAAUUACAGGUAACUACCAUUGACAGAAAUGGCCUAUUUGCUAUUAUAUAGUUAUUAUUAUGCCCAAGACUGUGUGUAUAAGUAUAUCUAUUCUUUUAAUGGGCCGGUGAUCAGAGUAUUGAAUGUUAAGCCCUGCAAGUUAUAGAUUUACUU
Molecule: long non-coding RNA, 481 nt
Organism: Neltuma alba
Lineage: Eukaryota; Viridiplantae; Streptophyta; Magnoliopsida; Fabales; Fabaceae
Exons: 2
Source: RefSeq, a predicted model, not a curated record